CUAAGAACCAGAACUUGACUUUUGAACCCACACUUGUUUCUGCAUUUACAUCAUAGUCCAUGCAAGCACAUUAGUAAAUGUACAUAGUAAAAGCAGAGGUAAGUAAAAAAUAAGACUUCAAAAAGAAACCAGACCUCAAGUACAUAGUAAAAGCAGAGAUAGUACAAAAUAAGACUUUAAAAAGAAACCAGACCUCAAGAGAACUGUAGGCAGAAGUACCUCCCCUUCUCGCGGGUUUUCCUUCCCCAACAGAAGGUCCAUCU
This 263-nucleotide long non-coding RNA is filed under the name Nicotiana benthamiana. RNAcentral describes it as "long non-coding RNA (NBEN_LNC015314)". Lineage: Eukaryota; Viridiplantae; Streptophyta; Magnoliopsida; Solanales; Solanaceae. The record is from RNAcentral.